Molecule: non-coding RNA, 91 nt
Organism: Mycena latifolia
Lineage: Eukaryota; Fungi; Basidiomycota; Agaricomycetes; Agaricales; Mycenaceae
Source: the annotation of a GenBank genome assembly
GGCCUGGUGGUGUAGUGGGAACAUGUGUGCUCUAUAUUUUGCUUGAUCAAGUGUUUAGCAGGAGUCCCUCGUUCGAUUCGAGGUAGGGCUA